Long non-coding RNA from Siniperca chuatsi (mandarin fish), 2124 nucleotides. RefSeq lists it as uncharacterized. The transcript is spliced from 2 exons. The record is from RefSeq and is a predicted model, not a curated record. NCBI's taxonomy places the organism in Eukaryota, Metazoa, Chordata, Actinopteri, Centrarchiformes, Sinipercidae.
CUGUAGGUACAAAAGACGAAGAAUGACAUGUUAGACGUGCGGAGGAGGAGAAGGGAGGAGGAGGAGGAGGAGGAGGAGGGAGGGAAAAGGAGAAAAGAAGAGGGGACAAAUAGAUACUGAGGUGAAAAAACACAGAGGCAGAAAAAGAGAACAAAACCAAGUGGAAAAACUUGACAGGACUUUCUUCUUUUCUUCUCUUUUUUAGCUUUCUAAGCUUGUUUGGCGUGGGAAAUGGCCUGACAUUGAAUGAUGCGUGCCAGGCGGAGUGAAGAGCUAAGGCAGUCGCUGUGUUUCACAGGUUUGGCACUUCACGUUUGGCUCAAGAGGUGAAAUAUUCCUCGAUUUGAGGAGUCUGUCUGCCAAAACUGUGUGGGAAGCAAUAUAACAGGGACUACAAGAGUUUGGAUUUAUAAAGAGCUGCAAUAUAGACGACAAAGACGCGAUUUGCAGACAGCUCUUGACUGUAUGGGAACAUUUUAUUCCUCUAGAAUAGUACAGAUAUUAUUUCAAGCAGUCAUGUCUGGGGAUUUUGAAGCGUUCUCAUGGAAAGUGGAGUUUAUUGCGAAAGCUGAGUUCGAGGACAAGGAACAUCUGAGACAACAGAUAUCACUGACCGAAUAAAAGACUACAUGUCAAUCAGUUCUCUUGAGAAAUGUUGCAUUCUUGGAUGAAUUCAUGAAUUCAUUACUCACCCAGCGGGAGAGAUGGCAGGUGUGACUUGACACACAAAAAGAGAAUAAAUGAUGAAAAUAAAAAGCUUUUAAAGAUGAAGAUGAAUUGAUUUUCUCAAGAUGCACUUGUGGACGGAAAGCACUGCAUAACAUUCUCAAACUGUUUGGAAAAACCCAUCUGGACAAUCUUUGUCUUGUUAGCAAGAAUUUAAUCAAUGAAAAUCUCAGUCACACUUCUUGCUCUUGGCUAAACAACCAGACAACAAUGUGCCAAAAAUGGGGAGAAUCUGAUUGUUGGAUGGAAACGCCUCUUCAUUGGGAACCUAUUAGAGAUUGGAUGCAGCAGCUGAUUGGGCUGCAUUGAAACUGCAUCACCACAACACCUCAGUUUUGUCAAACUACUAGUGUGGACAGACAAAUACGUAACAGCACCAAUUCUUCUUCUUCUUCCCACUUUUUAGAUUUGAUUUAUCUUCUGUUAAAGAUCUGUUAAAGAUGUACUGUGUGUCAAGUGUUUGAAUGAAUGAAAAAGGACCCUUUAGAUGUGUCAUGUUGUCAUAUCCAAAGACAUCAGUACCAAAGUAGCAUCGUUAGUAGUAACUGGUCACCCUUGUUAUUCUUUGGGCAGUAUAUCACAUCAUCUGUGCAAACACAAAGUCCAAGCCAGCAAAAGACACUACAGAGCAGUUAAACUCAGCCGACAUCAGAAACUCACAUCGCCUCUGAUGGCGCUUUAGAGGGAAGAACGGCUCAUUUGACUAAAUACAUAUUUCCUGGAUUCCUUUAGAUGGAGGAUCUAAGAUCUUAAGUAAAGUAAUCAAGACAUUUAAGACGAAUGAGACACACAUUUCUCUCCUAGAAACGUUUGUUGAAUUAAAACUCCAACUCUCAACAUACUCACUCUCUCUCUCUCUCACUCACACACACACACACACACACACACACACACACACACACACACACACACACUGCCUUGGCCCCAUGUUCCUUUCAGUGUGUGCAGCCUCUCGGCUACUGACUGAACCCCCUUUGUUCGGCAGUGACCCUCUUAAGCGCUGGUUGAAGCCUGCAGCCAUUCCACUUUGGAUUUGGACCCUAUCGCGUGUCACACGGCUAAGUCGACCAGGACCGGGCCUCUUCACCCAGACACACGGCAACAAGUAUCCAUUCACGUUACAAUGAAUGCUGCAGCAGGGUUUAAGUUAAAAUGACUAGAUCACCAAAAUUAUGAGCAACCAUAGAGGCGUCCAGAGGUGAAGGCUGCAUCACCUCAGUCAAAGGUUUGCUUGUUUUGUAAGUAUUUUAACAAGCACUUUACUGCACUGUUACAAUGAGUUUUACAGUAAUCUUUUCUUCAGUAAUGCCAAAAUAAAUCUGAAUAGUGAAGUCUGACUUAUGAAUGUAUUGUUCUAAAUCAAAAACAAUAGGAAGUAAAUAAAUGUAAAUAAAUGUC